Long non-coding RNA from Olea europaea var. sylvestris, 1838 nucleotides. RefSeq lists it as uncharacterized. The transcript has 2 exons. Lineage: Eukaryota; Viridiplantae; Streptophyta; Magnoliopsida; Lamiales; Oleaceae. The record is from RefSeq and is a predicted model, not a curated record.
GUCUAACCUAUUUUCUCUCUCAUUGAAUCACGUCUCCACCUCUCUUCUGGCCGAUUCAUUCCUAUUUUUUUCAUCUCUUCCUGUUGAUUUCACCGCAGAUUCAUCCCCAAUAUUUCCAUAAUUCCAUCCCCAAGAUUUCCAUCCAUUCUCUGUCGAUUUCAUCAAGGUUCAUCCCCAAGAUUUCCAUCUAUUUCUGUCGAUUAUAUUCUUCUAUAUGUUCUGCAAAUUCCAUGUGAAAUUUAGGAAAAAAAUGUCAGCAUCGAUGAUUUGAAUCAGUGGAGAAUCUGGAGAUUGUUUCUCCUUCAGUUCAUUAAUAAGGUAAUUAUUAAAACCUAGCGUGACUAUAGUCACUAUACAAGAUUUGUUUAUAUAUUCAAUGGCGACCUCGUGUUUCAAUCCGUUUCGACUGCGCAAGUCAAAGAGCAAAUCUUUAUCAAUUCUUUCUACUUCAAGAACUUAGUUAAGCAAUGAUGCAGAUAAUAUGGAGAGGAAGAGAUCUGACAGUUUGGAAUCUUGGUCAAUGAUAUUGGAUUUUAAGAAUGUUGAGACUUGGGAAGCAUCUGAACAUAAAGAGGAAUGGACGGCUGAUCUUUCUCAGUUAUUUAUAGGCAAUAAAUUUGCUUCUGGUGCACAUAGUAGAAUUUACAGAGGAAUUCAUAAGCAGAGAGUAGUUGCUGUAAAAAUGGUGAGAAUUCCAACUCAUAAUGAGGAAUCUAGAACUUUACUUGAACAACAAUUCAAGUCAGAAGUUGCCUUUCUUUCACGUCUUUAUCAUCCAAUAUAGUGGAGGUUAGAUUUCCUUAUAUCUUUGUGAAUAAUGAAAAUCAUACAUUUUAAAUAAACUAGUCAUUCUGGAACAACAUACAAAAUUUCAACUUCUUUUUCGUACUUAAUCCUGUUGAUUCCAACCUGCCAAACAUAUCUUUAAUAUAGUAAUUCAGAUUAUGUUUUGGUGCACUUUUGGCAAUAAUAGUAUUUCAAGAACUAGUCAAUACCAUUACCAGCAAAUGAUUUUGACGAAAUUAAUUUAGCUUGCAUUUAGUUCACGUUUUCUUAGUGUCAAAGUUUGAUCAGGUUGGUGGAUUGACCUCUAGGGCAACAACCUAACUCAAAAGCUCUACUGUUAUGGUUUUAGAUGAUUGUACAGCAUAAAAUCUUCACAACAAUCAAUUCAAACAUUUAAAAUUUCAUUUGCCAAUUGCAAUGGGGGAAUUUUGGACUUGGUUUAUAUUGCUCCCCUUCCACAUGAUGAUGUGGGCAAGUGUUUGAAGCUCCACCACUAGCAACAUCGUAAGUUGUUAUCUAAGAUUAGUAAUAGUAUUUCUGUCGCCCGGUUGAGUUGUUUUGUCAUACUAAGUUAUGCAAAUGCUGUUUUACAGGGUUUGAUAGGUUGAUCACGGUGAUUGGUACAUUUGAUGGACAAAUUAAAAUGAUUGAACUGGUAAUUAAGCUUGUUUGAUAGAAUAUUAAGCACUAUUGAAGUGCACAUAAUUGAGUUUUUCAUCUUUAAGGAUAUUCGAGAGCUUUUACUUCCUGUCAGCAUAGUUUCCAACGACAAGUAUGGUUUGGUUUCUUCCAUCACUCUUCCCAGGUUGUAACCAGACAAUCGUAAUAUGUUGGUUUCAUGCUCCUUGGGUUGUCAAUUUGGCUCUAGUCCCGUCUUGUUUUUCAGGUAUGUUGAUUUUCCAUUUGGCUUUUGUGAUUUGGUCCGAUAACUUUGGCGUUUAUUGGUCUGGGGAGUGACACAGGCACUUGUAUUCUAAUCCAACAUUAUGGUAGCAUUGAUUUUGUCCAUAUCAAUUUCCGUCACUAAUUAGAGUUUCGACUUUUUUUCAGUU